This 520-nucleotide ribosomal RNA is filed under the name uncultured archaeon. Its description in RNAcentral is "bacterial SSU rRNA". It matches the Rfam family "Archaeal small subunit ribosomal RNA", at positions 428 to 936 of the family's 1478-position model. The record is from RNAcentral.
CGAUAUAGCAAGGGCCGGGCAAGACCGGUUCCAGCCCCCGCGGUAACUCCGGCGGCUCGAGUGGUACCCGCUAUUAUUGGGUCUAAAGGGUCUGUAGCCGGCCUGGUAAGUCUCUUGGGAAAUAAAGACAAGCUUAACUGUCGGGCUGUCAGGAGAUACUGCCAGGCUCGAGGCCGGGAGAGGUGAGAGGUACCUCAUGGGUAGGGGUGAAAUCUUGUAAUCCUUGAGGGACCCCCAGUGGCGAAGGCGUCUCACCAGAACGGCCCCGACGGCAAGGGACGAAAGCUAGGGGCACGAACCGGAUUUAGAUACCCGGGGUAGUCCUAGCCGUAAACGAUCCUCCCUCUCUCUCGUACUGCUAACGGUGCGACCGUGGUCGGUGCCGUAGGGAAGCCGUGAAGAGAGGGAUGUCUUGGUACGGCCGCAAGGCUGAAACUUGAAGUAGGUUUCUCGAAGAGCACUACAACGGGUGGGAAACUCCGGUUUAAUUGGAUUCAACAGCCGGAAAGGCGAAUUCUGG